AGAGUUUGAUCCUGGCUCAGGAUGAACGCUGGCGGUCUGCUUAACACAUGCAAGUCGAACGCAGUACUUCGGUACUGAGUGGCGGACGGGUGAGUAACGCGUGAGAAUCUGCCUAGAGGUCGGGGACAACCAUUGGAAACGAUGGCUAAUACCGGAUAUGCCUUACGGGGUGAAAGAUUAAUCGCCUUUAGAAGAGCUCGCGUCUGAUUAGCUAGUUGGUAGGGUAAAAGCCUACCAAGGCAUCGAUCAGUAGCUGGUCUGAGAGGAUGACCAGCCACACUGGGACUGAGACACGGCCCAGACUCCUACGGGAGGCAGCAGUGGGGAAUUUUCCGCAAUGGGCGAAAGCCUGACGGAGCAAGACCGCGUGAGGGAGGAAGGCUCUUGGGUUGUAAACCUCUUUUGUCAGGGAAGAACACAAUGACGGUACCUGACGAAUCAGCAUCGGCUAACUCCGUGCCAGCAGCCGCGGUAAUACGGAGGAUGCAAGCGUUAUCCGGAAUUAUUGGGCGUAAAGCGUCCGCAGGUGGCUUAUCAAGUCUGCGGUCAAAGACCGGGGCUUAACCCUGGAAAGGCCGUGGAAACUGAUAAAGCUAGAGUACCGUAGGGGUAGAGGGAAUUCCCGGUGUAGCGGUGAAAUGCGUAGAGAUCGGGAAGAACAUCGGUGGCGAAAGCGCUCUACUGGACGGUGACUGACACUCAGGGACGAAAGCUAGGGGAGCGAAUGGGAUUAGAUACCCUAGUAGUCC
Molecule: ribosomal RNA, 749 nt
Filed under: uncultured bacterium
Lineage: Bacteria
Description: bacterial SSU rRNA
Rfam family: Bacterial small subunit ribosomal RNA
Source: RNAcentral